This 12442-nucleotide long non-coding RNA is filed under the name Nicotiana tabacum (common tobacco). Its description in RNAcentral is "long non-coding RNA (NTAB_LNC000549)". The record is from RNAcentral. Lineage: Eukaryota; Viridiplantae; Streptophyta; Magnoliopsida; Solanales; Solanaceae.
UUCUUAUAAUUAUUUCUAAUAUUUUUAUUUUUUUUCUUAUACAUAUCUAAUAAAAAAAUUCAAUGAAAUGGUAUCCCGUGACACCACGUAGAACAAAGGUAUGUAUCCACUCCAUGAUGAUUCGGAUACCAAAAAGCUAUGAAGUGUAUUUAUAUUCUGUUCUAGAAAUUACAGAUAUUGUUCAAAAUGGUCUUCCUCAACAAAAAACUGAAUAACUUUAUAUCACUUAAUAUUAUUAAUACGUAUCGUAUCUUGAAAAAUAUUUGCCAUGGGUACAAAUUAUAUACAUUGCCACGAAAGAAUAAUGUCUAUGUUGAUAUUCUGCAUCCGCUUAAGUUAAAGCCUUAAUCGUGCAUCGGGACUAAUGUUCUGAGCGACGAAACUAGAAAUUAAAUUAAAUGUAUUCAAAAUUUAAUAUAUAUGCAUAAAAAGUAAUAUUUGACUUAUAUACAUCGUAUAGUUUUUUAUCUAUACUAUAUAUUUUUUUCUAUAUAUGUAAUAUAAUUUUUUAGACAAGAGUGGGUUGCUCUAGCACUUCCAACCAAGAGGUUGUGAGUUCGAGUCACCCCAAGAGCAAGGUGGGGAGUUCUUGGAGGGAGGGAGCCAAGGGUCUAUCGGAAACAACCUCUCUACCCUCCCCAGACUCCACUAGUGGGAUUAUACUGGGUUGUUGUUGUAAUAUAAUUUUUCGGUAAAAGGUGUUCGUUCACCUAUUCACGCUCGAACCUAUAUAUAUGGUACGACACUAAUUUCCUACCGCUCAAAAUAAAAAUAAAUUGAACAAGGAUAGGAAUAUAUCUCUAUCAUAUUCAUCCAUAUUAUCCCACAGGAAUAAGUUCUUUUUGGCCCUUGGCAAUUUACAAAAGGAAAAGGAAAAGAUCCAAAAAAUAUCAUCAAAUAAUAGAGGAAAUGAGAGAAUCCCACUAAGCUAUAACUUGUAUAAAUACCUAUCAUCCCCUCUUCAUUUUCCUCAAGCCAGCCAAAAAACCAAACAAAAUACUCAUCUCAAACAUCCAUUUAAACAUUAACCAUGGCCUCAAUGCAAUGCUACAAAGAAGAAGCUAAGGAUUUUGAUUACUAUAGCCAUGAGAAAUCCUCAGGCACUUACCAAAAACCAACUAACUACUCGAACACUGGUUACCAACAAUCUUACUAUGAGAAAGAAAGGUGUUACGAAACCAACCCUGGAAUGACUGGUUAUGGUACUAGCCACGGCCAUCAACAUGGACUAGGUAACAGAUAUGGUAGCACUAACCCAUGUGGGCCAAUGAUGGGGCAUGGAUCAGACCAUGGUAAAAUGGGCUAUGGCUCGGGCCACAACACUCAUGGAAUGAUGGGCUAUGGCACGGGCCACAACACUCACAUGCAAAAACCUGGGUUCAGUGGAACGGGCUCGGGCGCUUUGGGCCAUGUUAUGGGCUUUGGAAAAAAACAUGAGGGACAUGGUGGCUAUGGAAUGGGGGCAACUUCUGGUUGCACCACCACUUACAAGAAGCAACACCGCAGGAGAAAGGGUGGUUACGGUAGCGGCAGCGACUGUAGCGACAGCAGUGAUGAUGAACGUCGCUGCUAAAUAACUACAGGUAACUGUUCAUAUUAUCUGAAAAAUUAAACAUACAAUCUGUUAUAACAAGUUAAAUUGAACUGAUAGUGUAAAAUUUCUUUUACGCAGAUUUGGUAAGUAGUAGCCUGGCUUAUGAGAAGGAAGAGAGUGAAGUUCCUAGUACUAGCUAGGGAUUAUAUAACAAUAAAUAAAAAGCACAUUUCAGCCAUGGAUUGACUACUGAAGUUAUGAACCUACUAUGGAACUUGAGAAUUUGUGUGUGUGUGUUGGUGUAUUACGUACUUUAUAAUAAUGUAACUGCUUAUUCCCUUUGAAAAUAAAUCUAUGAGAAAAUAACCUAAAAAAAAGGUCUUCUUGUGUGUGCUAUGUUUUCUGCAUGAUGUAAAACCGCUUUGAGUUUAUUACCGUGCCUGUGAGUUUAGUAAUCUGCAUGCAAGAUUAGCAAUUUUGCACCAUACAAACUAAGAAAACCAAAAAAUUUGCUAGGGUUAAAGAUAAAGCAAAUAUGGGCUGAAUAAUUUAUGAUACUCCAUACUUGUAUUUACAGUUACAACUACAAUUCAAAUCGAUCAAACAAUUUCCGAUUAUAAAUCACGGACUUAACACCAGUUAAGUUAAAAUACAUGAAUAAUGAGUCGUAAGAUUCAAAUAAAAAAUUAUAUGAAGAACACCCAAAAUAGAUAACAUAAAUCAAUGCACAAAAUUGAAAAUCAAAUAGAAAGAAAUAUCCUAGCGAAAGGACUAAUCGCAAUCUUGAAUAGGUAUAGGAAGAAAUUAAUCGCUUUCCAUCGAGGUAAAGGCAAGUCACACAUUUCAAGAUAGGAGUAAAAGGGCGGUGCACUAAGCUCUCACUAUAUGCGAGGUUCGGACCACAAGGGUCUGUCGUACGCAGCCUUAAGCAUUCUAAAUUGGAGUCAUGGGAAAAUAUUCUUUAACUUAAGCAUUCUAAAUUGGAGUUUUUAAACAACUCCGUGCAAAUCAAUCAACAAAUACAAACUCAGUCAAUUAAGAUUCCUAUUUAUGGAAAAAGGAUAACAAGUUUAACCACCUGGGGAUUGCUAGAUUGUUUUGAUGAAGCCACCAAUCGAGUUGAUUGCUGCAAAUGAAGCACACAAGGAACUGGAAUAUGUCCAUUCUUUUUUCGCCUAUUCUGCCUAUGUAGUGAAACAUUAAGAAUCUGAAAAAAUGAGAUGAAAGUGUUAAGCAACUUAAUCAUGGGUUUAAACCUGAAACAUGUCCAUUCAAUUUCGUGCCUCCCUACUACUGCUGAAAAGUUAAGAUUCUGUUUAUCCAAUUUAGCACCAUAUCAAUGACUAUUCAAUGAAGUGGUAAGGUGGCCAAAGUAUUAUGACUAUUUGCAGUACACUAAAGGGCAUCCCGUUGCACUAAACUCCCGCUAUGCGCAGAACCAUAAGGGUCUAUUGUACACAGUCUUGCCCUGCAUUUCUGCAAGAGGCUGUUUCCACGACUAUUUGCAGUACACUAACCAAGGAAAUUGGAAAAGGUUGACAAGCAGGUCUAAUAAGGUUUGUGAAUCCAUUAACCAUCCCACUGUGCCUCAUACUCAGAGGCUGAUACAUCAGCUCGGGUCGUGCAGGUACUUGUAGAACACCAGGGGCUCGGUAGUAAAGAGGGGGGUAUCCACCAGGAAAAAAAGCUGAACAUUCAGUGGCUCCUGCAAUUCCUUGUGCAUGCAUAUGUUGUAAUUGAGCUUGCCUUGCCUCUUUCCUUUGAGCAAUAGCUACAUACAACGGCUUUUGGCCAAACAUAAAUCCUGUGAAACGCCUCACAACAUCAAUAUACUUAACAGGACAUUAAGAGAGAGAAUCUUUUAACUUUCAGUACAGAGAAUUUUGAAGCCAUACUUCUACAGCACUAGCAUCUCAUCUUGUACAGACUCAACAAGAGCACGUAGGAUGCAGUAAAACAGAUGAAGAUGCCAACUUAAUUAUAUGAUAAAUAAUCAUACCAUUACAAAAAUAUAAGCCGUCAAACUUUGAAGAGCAGAUGAAUAAUAUGAGAGAAAACUGAAGGGAAAACGAAAGGGGAAGGCAUCUGUUAAUUUUCCUUCAAGACAUACCUUAGUUUUUCUGUGUAUCAAAAGAGACACAUAAAAUAGCAGUAAGGAAAUUUGUAGGAGUUCAUGAGAGAACACUGUUGCUGAAUAAUGCGUGGCAUCACAUAAUAACAUGUGGUGUAGCACUAUGUACUAGACCAAAUAAUCUAGGCAUUCCUGGCAAUGAUUUCCACAAAAAACUUUACAGCUACGGUUCAGACAAGCUAGUACAGAAACUGAUGGUUUCAAUCAUAAGAACUAGAUGAAUUCAAGUCGCUAUACUGCUUAUUUACUGUCCUUCAUAUUUCGGCUCAAAUGUCACUUCUUUGUUGCGUCCCUAUUACAAGUGGCUCUACUAUUGUUCUUCUAUUUCUCAUUCCCCUUUCAUCUUGAUCCCCAAUUCCCUGGCAAUACCUUCUUGGCUCUGAGUACGUGUCCUUAUUUGGAAGUUCAAAAGUUAACAAAUGGGAGUAAUAAAUCUUUGGUAAAAUAAAAAACUUUUUUCUUCUAGUCCAUGCCUUGAUCAGAAGUAUGAAAUGUGAGGUCAUAUUCACCUUCAAAGUUGAAACUCUCCAGAGAGCCAGCUUUACUUGUAUAGCAUCUCAAUUUAGCCAGUUCAUCUGACUAGAGCACAUCUUAAGAGAAGAAGGUACCAGUACAUUUCUAAAAGUAGGCUGUGUUAGAGAUAUGUUCAAAUUAUAUUUCAGAUACAAGGAAGUAGGACUUUUGUUAAUCUGUUACACCCCGACUAAAACAACUCAAGGUUGUAUUACUUACUGCAAUUUUUUUAUCUAGAGGUAGUGGAUAAAAAAAUUAAAAAAAAAUAAAAAAAUCUAGAGGUAGUGAUGGGUUUGACAGACAUCUCCUUGUGUAUUCUCAAAACCCAUAAGGCAUGAAGGAGAGGAACAUAGAAUCGGACCUCUUCAUAACCAAAUGAACAGAUGAAAAAGUUAAUCGUUUUACAAAAGAAUGUCUCUAUGAUUCUAUGAAGACUAGUUGGGUGUGGUUACAUAAAGGAACAUCCAGCUAUGCAAUGGUUUAAAAAUGUAAUUUGGGGGGGAGGGGAUGCAGCCUUUUUCGAAGAGUGAUCAUAAGGUUAUAAAGUAAAUAGCAGAACCAUUCUGAAGUGAAUUUCUUGGUUUGCCUUAUAGCUUCAAAUGUCCUCUACUUACAAGCAGUGAGUGAACCAAGAAAAAGUAUGGCAGAAAGCUGUGAAAGUGCUUCAGCAAUUAAUUUCAGAAAAUUGGAUGGACUAAAAGAGAAAUUAGAUCUACUAUAUUUUGACUAGAGGGAGUAAUAAUAUUGAAGUUUCUAAACUUGAAACAAGAAAAUUAAUUACCAUAAAAUGCACAAAAGUAACAGUUACCACAGAGGAUUCAAAGGUACUUUCCUACCUUCUGUGCUUGACUUUGUCAUAUCAACGAACCUGGAGAAGAUAACAUAAUUCAUUCAAUAAAUUCUCAAAAUAAUGUGCCCUUACUCAGGUUCACACAGGAUGAUUGAAGAAGGUUAUUGAUAAAAUAGUUGCAGGAAACCAAAAUGCAUUCAUUAGAGGGAGACAAAUAAUAGGUGCCGCAAUGGAGGAUAACGAAUACCUUGAUUUGAGAUUGAAACGGACAAGCUCAAAAGUACUUUGCAUAUUAGAUUUUAUAAAAGCAUAAUUGAGCUUCUUUUUUCAGUAUGUCGAAGAAGAUGGGUUUUGGGAGAAAACGGGUUAGAGCAUGUAUAUCAACUUUUUAAAAUGCUAUGUGGUCAUUAAUCCAGCUCUAGAACACUUCUCUCCCCAUAAAGAGGCUUGAGACAUGGUGAUUUUGUCACCAUUUCUGUUCUUAUCAGUAAUGAUAGCAUUCAACUUAGUACUGAACAAAGCUUUAAAUUACAACUGGUUAGCAAGGUUUCCAGGUGGCUAAUGGACCUAGUAAUAGGAUGGAAGUAUCUCAUGUUCUUUUUGCUCACUAUACCCUUAUUCUAUGAGGAGCAGAGGAGUCAACUACUGUAUUUGAAGGCUAUUUACUGGCUUUAGAGAAAAUUUCAGGCCUUCAUAUGAUUCAACGCCAAAAGUUGUCUUUUCUGGGUUAAUGCAUGCCAGAGCAUCCAUAAACUGGCAGACACCUUCAGAGCUAAAAGCAUGUGAAAAAAUGUCAUUGAGAAAUCUGAAAGAAUAUUAAUGUCGUGGAUGGAAUGCCAACUUACACCCUCAGCAUCAAGGAACAUGUACUGGGGUGUAUGUGAGUGGAAAACCAUUUCAAAAUCAAUAAAUUAAGAUAAAUCUGAGUUUGAUCAGGAAUUUCCCCCAUUUUUGCAUCAUUGAAACGUCCCGAAUACAAAUGUGUGCCAAUGUCGAAGAGAAGCUAAGCAAAUUAAGGAGUGAUUCCCUGGGGAAGGCAAUCACGAUUCACGACAAGAAAAUGGUGGCACCUAAUGAGAUGGCAAACACCAAAGAAGAGCAAAAGAGAAGGCGUUCUUGGAAUAAAGGGUUAUUUCUUUUCAUAAGUAAAUUUUCAUUAAUGAAACACUACAAAGAGGGCAACAAAGCAGAUCAUGAAAUGUUCUAGACUUGUAAACAGACUACUCAAAAACAGCAUCUAGCAAGUCCAUGAAAUCAUUAAUACUAAUUACAGGUUCUCCUUUAAAUUUGUAUACAUCUGUACCUUGCAGCAUAAAAAGAUUCCUUUUUUCCUUCAAAACAUCUCUCGUUCCUUUCAAGCAAAACUGUCCAUAUGAUGCAUAAAGGAAUUUGCUUCCAAGUCUUCUUCGAACUUCUAUCCAUGCCUUGAACCUGCCAACUGUCAAGUAGCUCCAUAAAAUUUUGUGCCAUCGCCAACUGUCAAUGCACCCCAUAACAUAUUUAGAAGUAGCAUCCAGAUCAUCCAAGUGUGCUUGCAUUGCAGAAGCAAGUGACUAUCUGUUUCAGUGUCAGAUUCACACAAAAAGUAUUUAUUGCAGAGGUUAUACCCUCUCCUCUGCAAGUUACCCUGCACUAGACAUGCACCAUGCGCAGAAAUCCACCAAAACAUACAACCCUAGAGGCUAUAUGGAGCUUUGGUUAGCAUCUGCCAAGGCCAGUGAAUUUCAGAAUCACCAGCUUGUUUUUUCAGUAGUUCAUAACACGAUUUCACAGAGAAAUUUCCAUCCUUACCUCCUGACCAUAACAAAGAAUCCUCCUUGUCUUCUUCAUGUGCGAUAACCUGGAAUAAUUGCAUGAAAUCACUAAAUUCAUCCAUCUUCCGAUCAUUGAGUCCUCUUCUAAAUUGAGAAUCUCAUUCAGAGCUGGAAAUACAAUCAGCUAUCAUAGCUUCCUGAUUCGAAGUUAAACUGAAUACUCUUGGUAAAAGAUCUUUCAGCAAGCCUUCAUCACACCAUUUCUCAGUCCAAAGUUUAAUUUUUCUCCCAUUACCCACUUUUAAUUUGAUAUUAUCCUUAAACUCUACCCAACUAUUUGCUUCAACAUGGCCACCCGUAGGGAGUAUUCACUACUUUUGGCUCUCAGUAACUCUCCAUGCCAUAUUUUGAAAUAACAAUACUGUGUUUCUACCGUCAUUUAGCCUCCAUGGCUUUAGAGACUUAAAGAUGAUAGAAAAGACUUACUGAAAAGAGUGAUCAUAAGUAAAUAUAGUAUAGGAAAAGAUCAGUUCACUUAACCAGUUAGUCUAACUCAUGGAGUCACAGUUUAGAAACAUAUUGGAGCCUAUGGGAGGAAUUCUUGGACGAGGUAAAAUAGAAAUAAGCGAUGGGAAAAGAGCAGAAAAUGCAGUUGAACAAAUCAAAAGAAGAUCAAUAAAUGGAUAGAUACUGAAAGGUAUAUUCUCUGACCUAUAUGUGUUGCUGGUUAUUAGAAGGAAAGCACUAAUGCAGAAUGCGAGUGGAGGGAAUCGGAUUUUCCAGUUUAAAGGAGAAUCAACCGGGAGAUUAGUAGAGUGAUGCACCUCUAAAACUCCUUAAGCAUGUUAAUCAGUAUACAUAUCAAAGGGGUAACCUGCAACGGAUGGAAACGGGGAUGGUUAGUUUUCAGUAAGAUCAUGCUAUAGCUUACUGCAAAGAGACAGGUUGGGGGAACAGCUGCAAAAUGGGCUAGGAGAACGAUAUGGAAAGCAAAGGCACCAUCAAAAGUAGAUUGGUUUUGGAUGGACUGCAGUACACAAUGCAUGCUUGGAACAGGAUAAUUUGCAGAAAAGAAGUUACAACUUGUGCAGCAGGCGUGAUUUUUGUGAAGGAAAAAGCAGAAUCAGUCAAUCACGUUCUUUUGCAUUUUCGAUACAUAUGGAAGGGUUGGUGCAUGUUGCUAAUCCAAUAUUGAUGCAGCGGUGAUGCUAGGGGAACAGAAUCAAGCAUUAGACAGCUGGAAGGGAGCCAGAAAUGAGGAAGGAACAGAGGCAUAUAUGGAAAUCAAUUUUUUUAAGUGUAUGCUGGACAGUUUAGCUUGAAAGAACUCAUGCUUCGAAGAAGACUUAUCUUUUGUAAACUAUGAUGUAUAAAAAGUUUGAAUCUUAUAGCGAAGUGUGUUUUGCAAAUGAUACAGAAUUUGUACUUGAGUUCAUUGAUCCCAUACAUAAUUGAGGGAUCAAAUCCAGAUACUUCCAUACCUAGUCAGUUCUUCCUUGGUGCCUUUAAUAAGUUUACUUAUCAAAAAGUUCCAGUUGGUUGUCCCUUAAUCUUAAAUAAAGAAUCAAAGCAACCAAGUAAAUCAAAAUAAAUAUGAUAAAGCAUCAGAAAAUGUAAAUGAAUGAAGCAAAUAGCAUACAACUCUUAUUGAACAGCUUCACAUUGUAACAGAUGCAAGUCUUUUUAUCUCGGACACCAUAUACAUUGGUAGAUAAUGUCAUUCUUGAGUAGGAGAUAAGUGUGUGCACAAGCAGCCCUAACUACUAUGGUUUACAAUUGAAGCCUGGAUCGGACCUGCUUCAUCCUCCAACACUUCGCACCUAGGCCGUGUAUUUCUGUAUGCAUAAAUAAAACACGAAGACAUCUAAAAGACAUGUUGGCAGGAGCUAGAAUGUAGGAUGAGAAUCAAAUUAAAGAGUUAAUAUUAGCAAACUGAAUCCUCAAUCAUCUAGAAAUAGCAUUUAUUAAAUAAUAAAUACAUAGUAACAUUUAUGCAUUGCAAUGAAGAAAAAUAUUAUAUCUAACUUAACUUCAAACAUAAUUUUGAAAAACAAAUAAAUAACCAAAGUUACAAGAGACAAUAACUCCCAAUGAUCUGAGGCGCUGAGUCAAGACAUGGAGGCGAGUGCAUUAUGAGGUUGAUGGUUUGACCCAAGUUGGUGGGGAAAGAGUACUUUGUAAGCUCCCAUAUCUCUUCCACUACCACCUCCCUCAUUCUUAAUCUCGUACCAAUCAUCGGUAAAAUAUAUGUGAUUAGGCUUGACUCCUUUAAACUUAGAGGACUCAAUCGAACUUGCUCCACUAAGGCCCAAAAAAAUUGCGGAAUCUCCCAAGUUGUUAAUUUCCAUCAAUUCACCUUUGAUUAUAUCUAAUUCAUACACUUUAAUUUUAAAGGUCUGACCUCCAUUUCCAUGGGAAUAUCGGGUAACGAAUAACAGUGAAUUGGAUACCUCAACUAGGUAGAACUGAACUGAAUAUUGACGAAACAUAUCAUCCUUUAGGGAAAAAAGCAAUUGUGGCUUAACAAUUGGUUGAGGAGUGGCAGUUCCUGCAAUGUCAAAAACCCAAACUUGGCCACGCCAUGUCACACAAUAAAAUUUCCCAUUAUAGUAAUUCAUUGAUGUUACUGCACCCGCUUUUGCAAUAUCAAUUUUAGUCCAGUUAAGAUCUCCAGGUCGCCAAAAAGCCAAAAGAUCAUAGUUUGCAUAAUAAGAAACCACCAGUACAUAAUCUGAUGAAACUGAAGGAUUGGCAGAUAAGACAGCUUUGUCCAUAUAGUGCCAGAACUCUCCUUUCAAUAGUUCUUCGUAACCAUGAAAACCCCAAAAUUCUUUUUCUGAAGGAAGUUGAAUUUGGGUACGGGAGAAAGGAUUCAACAAAUUCAUCUCUCCGUUAUAUGCACAGUGCAAAGCCAUCCCUCCGUUGGAAAACACUCUCUCCCUCUAACUUCGGGGAGAUAUAUGCGUGAAAUUUUCUGCUUGGAAAGUGAGUAAAAUUCUCGAUAAUCUUCAUCUUUAUCAGCCAACAUUAGCAAUGGAACUUGGGGCGAAAACACAUCGAAAUUUUUCUUUGUAGCAGCAGUUCGCCAAGAGGUAUAAACGACACCAAAAGAAACGAAAUCUUCAAUCACUUUAACACGGUUUGCAAUCUGAGUAAGGAGAUCGUAAGGCAACUCUGCCCACUUCGACAUAGCUCUGAAAGAAAAAACGAUGUAACGUUGCUAGGAAUCCGAUGCUGACGAGAACUUUGGUGAAAUCUAGUUCGAGUUCGAUUUUACGAUUCUCAAAUAUUUUUGUAAAAUUUAAUUUGGGUGAAUUUUGAUUUAAAAUUAAAAAUUUGUUUGGACUGUCAAUUGUUUUUUUCGACUUUUACCAACUUAUUUUUAGUUUUAUGAUCUUAACUCUUUUUUUUACAUAUGGGAGAUUUAGUUUUACACAUAAGAGAUUUACUUUUACACAUAAGAGAUCUUUCAUUUACACAUAAGAGAUUUAAAAAGAUAUUUUCUUAAAUUAAACAUUGUAAAAGGCCAAGAAGACCUAAAACCUCUAAAUUUUGAGUCAAGUUUUGACAUGUUAUAAAGUCUUUUUUUUCAGAAAUAAUCUUAAAUAGUCAUGAGUUGACCCAAAAAACUGAACAAUUUUAUAUCACUUAAUAUUAUUAGUGCGUAGAGUAUCUUGAAAAAUAUUUGCCAGGGGUACAAAUUAUUGAGUAUAUAUUGCCACGAAAGAAUAAUGUCUAUGUUGAUAUUCUGCAUCCGUUUAAGUUAAACCCUUAAUCGUGCAUCUGGACCAAUUUCAUGAGUGGCGAAUCUAGAAAUUAAAUUAAAUAUAUUUAAAUAUAUAUAUAUAUAUAUAUAUAUAUAUAUAUAUAUGUAUAUAUAUAAGGUAAUAUUUAACUUAUAUAUAUCGUUUAAUUUUUUUUAUAUACGAUAUAAUUUUUUAUAUACUUAAUACGAUAUUGCGGUAAAAGAUGUUUGCCUAACCACACUUGAGCGGUAAUGAUUUCCUACCGUUCAAAAUAAAANNNNNNNNNNNNNNNNNNNNNNNNNNNNNNNNNNNNNNNNNNNNNNNNNNNNNNNNNNNNNNNNNNNNNNNNNNNNNNNNNNNNNNNNNNNNNNNNNNNNNNNNNNNNNNNNNNNNNNNNNNNNNNNNNNNNNNNNNNNNNNNNNNNNNNNNNNNNNNNNNNNNNNNNNNNNNNNNNNNNNNNNNNNNNNNNNNNNNNNNNNNNNNNNNNNNNNNNNNNNNNNNNNNNNNNNNNNNNNNNNNNNNNNNNNNNNNNNNNNNNNNNNNNNNNNNNNNNNNNNNNNNNNNNNNNNNNNNNNNNNNNNNNNNNNNNNNNNNNNNNNNNNNNNNNNNNNNUCAUCCAUGUAUCCCACAAGAAUAAGUUCUUUUGGCCCUUGGCAAUUUACAAAAGGAAAAGGAAAAGAUCCAAAAAUCAUCAAAUAAUGGAGGAAAUGAGAGAAUCCCACUAAGCUAUAACUUGUAUAAAUACCUAUCAUCCCCUCUUCAUUUUCCUCAAGCCAGCCUAAAAACCAAACAAAACACUCAUCUCAAACAUACAUUUAAAAAAUCCAUUAACCAUGGCCUCAAUGCAAUGCUACAAAGCAGAAGGUAAGGAGUUUGAUUGCUAUAGCCAUGAGAAAUCCUCAUGCACUUACCAAAAACCAACUAACUACUCGAACUCUGGUCACCAACAAUCUUACUACGAGAAAGAAAGGUGUUACGAAACCAACCCUGGAAUGACUGGUUAUGGUACUAGCCACGGCCAUCAACAUGAACUAGGUAACGGAUAUGGUAGCACUAACCCAUGUGGGCCAAUGAUGGGCCAUGGAUCAGACCAUGGUAAAAUGGGCUACGGCUCGGGCCACAACACUCAUGGAAUGAUGGGCUAUGGCACGGGCCACAACACUCACAUGCAGAAACCUGGGUUCAGCGGAAUGGGCUCGGGCGCUUUGGGCCAUGUUAUGGGCUUUGGAAAGAAACAUGAGGGACAUGGACAUGGACAUGGUGGCUAUGGAAUGGGGGCAGCUUCUGGUUGCACCACCACUUACAAGAAACAACACCAUAGGAGAAAGGGCAAGGGUGGUUACGGUAGCGGCAGUGGCAGCGACUGUAGCGACAGCAGCGACGAUGAACGUCGCUGCUAAAUAACUAUAGGUAAUUGUUCAUAUUAAGUGAAACUAGUUAUCUGAAAAAUUACUUUCUUUUUCUUUCCUUGAGUCGGGGUCUAUCGAAAACAAUCUCUCUACCCUCAAGGUAGGGGUAAAGUCUGCAUACACACUACCCUCCUCAGGCUCCACUCGUGGGAUUAUACUGGGUUUUUCGUUGUUGUUGUUAUUGUUAUCUGAAAAAUUAAAUAUAUAAUCUCUUAUAACAAGCUAAAUUGAACUGAUAGCGUAAAAUUUCUUUUACGCAGGUUUGGUAAGUAGCGGCCUGGCUUAUGAGAAGGAAGAGAGUGAAGUUCCUAGUACUAACUAGGGAGUAUAUGACAUUAAUAAAUAAGAAGCAGGUUUUAGCCAUGGCUAGCUAUUGAGUAUUGACUACUGAAGUUAUGAACCUAUGGAACUUGAGAAUUUGUGUUUGUGUGGUGGUGUAUUACGUGCUAAUAAUGUAACUGCUUAUUCCCUUUGGAAAUAAAUCUAUGAGAAAAUAACCCAAAAAAGGUCUUCUGGUGUGUUAUGUUUUCUGCAUGAUAUAAAACCGCUUUGAAUUUAUUACUGU